GAUAAAUUUACACCUCGUGACUAAACGUGUUUAUCAUUCUCACAUGAUUAAGACGUCGAUUUCGAAGAAAGAUGGAAAAGCAAUUGGAGAAAUGUGUUGACGAGAUAUGUGCCAUGCCAAAUGUAAAUGGUAUCUUGUGUGCAGAUAACCAAGGCUUAUGUAUGGCAUAUAAAGGAAUAGCAGCACCAAAAUCUGCUGGUGUUUUCACCUUUUUAACAAAAUUAGCAAGUUCAUUAGAACCUAAUAAUAAACCACCUGUAAUUCAGUUAGAUGGAAAAAAGACGUAAGAUAUUGUUUUUUAAUCAAUGGCAAAUUCUGAUAAAAAAUACAGAAAAUAUUACAAUGGCAAUUUAUAAAUCAUCACAAUGAAUAUGUUGUUCUUUUGUGAUAUAUUUUUCAUUGAAAAUAUUGUAAAAAUUUUAUACCUGUAUAAAUAUUGCUGCCAAUGUUCACUUUUUGUUUAACUGUGCACUAUAAAUAAAACAGUUUGUAAAUCCUA
RNA transcript from Centruroides sculpturatus (bark scorpion), 499 nucleotides. It is a transcript of the gene named ragulator complex protein LAMTOR5 homolog, with no coding region annotated. The transcript has 4 exons. Lineage: Eukaryota; Metazoa; Arthropoda; Arachnida; Scorpiones; Buthidae. The record is from RefSeq and is a predicted model, not a curated record.